Molecule: long non-coding RNA, 1244 nt
Organism: Mastomys coucha (southern multimammate mouse)
Lineage: Eukaryota; Metazoa; Chordata; Mammalia; Rodentia; Muridae
Exons: 3
Source: RefSeq, a predicted model, not a curated record
ACAGAUAGGCUGGAAGGUUUCCUGUCAUCCCCAAAACAAUUUGUCUCUCAUGGUUGGGUUGGAAUGUGCUAGAACACCCAGCCCUGGGUCUGUGCUGGCCCCUGGCUCACACCAUUACAGUGCAGCUCAUGCCAAGACAGGAGAGAGUGAGACUGUCUGCAUUUGAAUCCCAACUUCUGCUCUCCAUAGCUGUAUGUUAUAAGGAAACGGUAAAAACCUGUCUGCGCCAGGGCUACGCCUAGGAUUCCCAGGUCAGAAGCUGGGAUCUGCUGAGGAGAUGAAAGCUGGGCCCUCACAGGCCUGCUUCCUUGAGUUGUUUCUGAGGAAGAUCCAUGUCCGGAACAUGCCCGUAUCCAGAGAGUUGAACCCCUCCACACCUGCAAAGCCCUUUCUGUGCACCCCAGGUUCUGGGGUGGAACAUGAGGAUCUGAGGUUGCGGGGCUUUUGUUCAGCCUUUCAGAAUCAAUCUUCCUCCCUCCCUCUGUCUCUUUCUCUUCCUCUCUCCUCGUCCCUCCCUCUGCCCCCCUCCCCCCUCCCUCUCUUUCUACCCCCAAGACAGGAUUGCUCUCUACCUAGCCCUGACUGUUUUGGAUCAGGCUGACCUCAAACUUAGAGAUUUUGCCUCUGCCGCCCAGAUGCUAGGAUUAAAGGUGUGUGCUACCAUUGUCCAGCCAGAAUUUUUCUCUCCAGGUUGUAGCUUGUUUUCCCCACAAUCCUGUUUAGUUUAUGGUUUGUUUCUUCAGCUCUCUGCCUCCAGUAGAGUCUGCUUCAGCUCAGGUUGAACCCUGAGCCUGUGUGCUGGUGAGCUAAGCAUCAUCGCUGUGUUCUUUCGGGAACUCCAUAAGCAAGGCUUUUACCCUUCACCAGUCCAACCAUUCCCCUACCACUGGCCGUCUCUGACUUGACCUGCAUCACCAGUCUUCCAUGAGAGCCCCACCCUCCCAAACCCCCACCGCAGCCCCCAGCUUCCCUGCUCUCUCUUUCCUGUGUCUUUUUGUAGCUACAUUUCUUGGAGGGUCUCUGAAGAGUUUCUGGUCUGGGGUGAAUGAGAUGGUUCUGUGGCUAAAGGUGACUGCGGCCAAGCCUGAUGAUCUGAGUUCAAUCCCUGGGACCCACAUAUGGAGGACAGGGUUUCUCUGUGUAGCCUGGCUGUCCUGAAACUUUCUCCGUAGACCAGGUCUCAGAAUCAGAGAUCGGCCUGCCUCCUUCUCCUGAGAGCUGGGAUUAAAAGUGUGCAUCAUCAG